CGCAGAUCUACUAUGUGGGGCUCCGGGCAAGAGCAUUCCAGGCAGAGGGGCCGCCAGUGCCAAGGCCCUGGGGCACAGGGCUGCAUCUGAAGAACAACAAAGAGGCCGAGUGUUUUUGGUGACGUGAGAGCGAGUAACGGGGAGAGGGUGAAGAGAAACGGCCGAUGACGUGGGGUCUCGUGGGACCUUCCAGGACUUGGGCUUUUACGUUGACGAGGCAGAGAGCCGCUGGGUCAGGAGCAGAGGAGCGAUCGACUCGUUUUCUAACAGGAUCCCUCAGGGGCAGCACUGAGAACAUGGGCAGAAAGCGGGCGACAAGCGAGGAGCUGACAUGGGAGAGAGGGGUUUCCGAGGGCGGAGGGAGAGCGCGUUGGGGCGGCAUGGGGUGGGGCAGCCCUCCAGCUCCGCCCUGGCGCACGGAGCCUUCCGCGAGGAGCCUGAGGAUGGAGAUCCUGCUGCAGAGGAUGUGGAUCCCGAGGGCUGAGCGCGGGGUCUUGUGAUCCAAGGCGGAGACGGAGCCAGGGAUGCGCGGAGCCUGACGGGGCUUCUUGCGGCCCUGACACAGGGGUAAAGAGGGCGAUGCAAUGAGUCCUGGGGACCCGAGGCGGCCCGGGGUGGCAGAGGCCGGAGGGCAGGGGGCGGUUCCGGCCCUGGGACGUGGCUUUGGCUCGGGUUGGGACGCAGGGAGGCUGGCGAGACGUGGGAUUGGUCCCGCCCCGAGAUCUUCUCUUCAGCCCCGAGGAUGGAAGGCAGGCCGAGGGACCUUCGGUCAAUAGACGUGAUGAAGACAGUGUCCCGCUCAGGAUGCUCGGCCUAUACGGAGAAGAGCGCCCGUGUGACCGCGGCUCAGCGCACAGACCAGCACAGACUUCAGUCCAAGGUCGCUCUGUGCGCGUUAUGGACAACGGUCCGCGAGCCCGCCAGCUCGUGCGCGCUGGGCGGCUGUGACCGGCUCCGCUUUAGCCGGUUCCCGGAGCCCUGACGCCGCGCUCCUUGCCAAGAGGUCCACCGGCCAGCAGCGGCCGCCUCACCUAGACACUCGUUGGAGAUACGGGACUGGCCCGGCCCGGGGCUACUGAAUCAGCGUCCGCACUGAACCAGAUCCCCAUUCGAGCCCUGGGAAUGCGCCUCAUUAUUAGUAGGAACAAAGCAGGUGCUUCCAGGAAGAGAAGCCAAGGUGGAGCUUUGGAACCUGGCGUGUGGUUACACCUACAGCACAGCUCAGUCCAGAGCAGCCACACUCCAAGAGCUCAGUGGACGCCUGGGCUAACGGCUGUGGUGCUGGAUGGUGCAGCUUCGGGCAACAGAGGUGCGCGCUGUGAGAGACAGAUUUCCACUUCUGGAAAACAAAAUGACUGCCCGUUUAAAGUAGAAGAGGUGGUUCAGCAGACCAUGCAGGGAAUCAACCACUAUGAAGGACAAGCAUCUUUUAGGAUUUUGGGAUCUGCGUAGCUGGGUCAGUGCUGGGAUGGGGGACAUGAAAGGACCCAGUGCUGUGGUGGGUGCUCCUGGCCCAAUCCUCUUUCUCAGAAGCGUCACUCACCAAUCUUCUCCCAAACUGGCUGUGAGUAUAACAAAGACCUUCUUCCUAGUAUUAACACUAGAUUGGCUUCCCAGGAUCUGAUCUUUACCGUGGGUUUUUCUCCUCAAGAAAUUAGAGAAGCUGCUGAGCCACCGGCAGGUGUUAGGCUGUAACCAGGUCCUGUAGCUCUCUGGAGCCCCAGGCUAAUGAACAGCAGGUCUUCAUGAUGUGUGCUGAGAACCGGGUUAACUCAUUUCCCGGGGUGGCCUGCGGACAGCGUCCUCGUGCUGACGGCAGGGUGCAGAGGCACCCAGGACAGGGGGCCCCCACCCCACCUGUCCAGGUGCCUGUGCUCCUGGGGAGGCUCCUGGCCACUUUGCACCAAAACAUCUUUGCUUCUCCCAAAGGGACUUCCUUCCCAAAGCUGAGGAUGGUUUGAAACAAGCCAACAAUGAGCGGGACAAGAUUUAUCCUUGGGCCAUUCACCCACUCCAUCCUGUGCACCCUCCCCUCACCAGACACAGCCCUUCUCUUUGGCCCAGGAGGGCACCUGCUGUCAAAAGCCUUCUCAUCAAAGCGUCAUGCCCUCUUCCACAAGGAGUGACUGUCUACACGAGGACGCAGGUGACACAGAGUCCUUGUUCUCCAUGGCUCUUGUGAAAAGGGACUAAUGCACAGCCAGAAGAACGUCAAGCACAGCUGGGCAGGGGGAGAGAUGGGGAGAAAGUUGGAACGACUGGGCCCGAGAUGGUACCGUGCAGGCAGCAGCACCCCCCUAGAACAGAGUGAGGGGUGAGGGUGGAGCACCCUCCAGGGGUCAAGAUGGGCCGGCAGCAAUGACAGGCUGCCCCUGGGCACUUGCGGCUUCUGUUGUGUGGCCAAAGUAUCAGGCUUACCAUCCUCAGAGAAUAAGGUCAUUUUACUUCUUUAAAAAUGUAGAAUUUAAAUAAUUUUACCAAAAUUAGGUUUAAAGAUGAUUCGUAUGAGUAAGUUCUUAAAUCAAAGCCUGAGGAAGAACUGCUCCCUGCCUCCUACUGUCACACGGCUCUCAUCACGCAGGCGACCCUGUUUACAGCCCAACGUCAUGGCUGCAAUCUUCUGGCUCACACCGAGGUCUUGUUUGGGAACCAUGCUCUUUUAUUAGGGCAGAGGGAACAUUUAAAGGGGUUUUCACAGUUUCUCUGGGCCAACAGUACUCUAACUUUCUGUUUUCCUUUUCUACUGUUACAUGGAAGGAAGGAGCCCCUCUCUGUGUUAAAAUGUGGGGAUUAUUUUGUAAAUUUGACUAUGAAGAAGAGUUAUUUACUCUUUUUAAAAAGUGAUUUACUUUUUUUUUUAAAAGAUAAAGUAGUCUUAGCUGAUAUCUGCAAGGUGUUAUAAGGACUUUUUGGGUCAAAUUACUCUAAAGUCACCCAUUAAGAGAAAUCUGACACAUAUGAGACAAAAUGUGUGUGACUUAAUCUGUCUGGAACCCUACAGUGGUCCCCUUUGCUGAAAGACGAGGUAUAAAUGCUGUCUAAUGUGGAUAAGUGUAGGACACACAUAGUGAGCUAAGUUGAUGCUGACAGGUAAAGUGAAGACACGAAGAAAUCUUAACGUUUGACUCAGGAGCUUGCACUUAAUUUGGUAGGUAGUAGGGAGCUGUUGAAGGUUUUAGAGUAAAGAGAACGGUAAUCUCAGGGUGGUGCUUUAGCUGCAGGAGAAAUGGAGGGAGGAAGAAAGCUCAAAAGUUUGUUGGGGCAGGGCCUACAGGACCACAGCAGAUCAAAUGUGGAGACUAAGGAAGAAAGAGGAGUGAAAGAUGACUCAGAUUUUGAGCUAAGAAGGAUGACAGCUGCCUGAAAGGACAGAGGCCGGAAGUUGUUGGGGGAAAAUAUAAUUAACUUGACCUUGAACAUGCAGAGUUCGAGGAUCAAAUGAAAAAAUGGAUUGAAGCACUUCCAGGAGUGUACGGCACUGUUCUCACAUAAUAAAAUAAUAAUAAUACCAUUCGUUAAACAUGGAGCAAGUAUCUUAUAUGGACUCUCCCAGAUACAGGCUGAGCCCCAUCGUCAUGAAAACGAUCUUUAAGUCCAGGAGAAGAACCUCUGGGCAGAGGGGCCUGGGUCCUGGACUUAUGUGUCAGUUGGGGCCAAUGGGAGGAAGCAGUGAGAAAGUCGCACAGGACCCACAGGGAGUGAGGUGGCUGGAGGCCACUCUAGGCAGCUCGGCGGCCUGGAGACGAUGACUUUGAGGAAGAAGAGCACGGACUUUCCAGUAGGAUUGGCUGAGUUCAAAUUCAGAUUCUGCAAUUGAACAAGCUGGGUUAUUCUGGGCAACUUAACCUUCGGGUGCUCAGUUUCCCCGUCUGAAAUUGGGGCUAUGCCAAGUAUCUGCUCUUAACGGUUGUUGUGAGGACUAAGUGAGAUUAUGCUGAAAAGCGCUAAGAACAGCGCCUGGAAUACGGCAACGACUCAAAACCAUUAAUGAUGCCAAGUGCUAAUGGGGUGAAAAAUGGAAAUUAAGAAAAGAAACCUAAUUACACGGGAGUCGGGAAGGCCUGUAGGGGGAGCUCUCAUGCCCCAUCAUUGCUUGCAUCUCAGACAGGAAGCGCAACUGCUUUAUUACUGAAGGAAGAUUUCUCUCCCCACCCAGCAGCAGCUCAGCCAAUGAGAAAUGCCACAGCUCAGCUAAUGAGAAACUGCAGCUCAGCCAAUGAGAAACGCUGCAGCUCAGCCAGUGAGAAAUGCCACAGCUCAGCUAAUGAGAAAUGCUGCAGCUCAGCUAAUGAGAAACUGCAGCUCAGCUAAUGAGAAACUGCAGCUCAGCCAAUGAGAAAUGCCGCAGCUCAGCCAAUGAGAAACGCCGCAGCUCAGCCAAUGAGAAAUGCCGCAGCUCAGCCAAUGAGAAACUGCAGCUCAGCCAAUGAGAAAUGCCGCAGCUCAGCCAAUGAGAAACGCCGCAGCUCAGCCAAUGAGAAAUGCCACAGCUCAGCCAAUGAGAAAUGCUGCAGCUCAGCCAAUGAGAAAUGCUACAGCUCAGCCAAUGAGAAACUGCAGCUCAGCCAAUGAGAAAUGCCACAGCUCAGCUAAUGAGAAACUGCAGCUCAGCCAAUGAGAAACGCUGCAGCUCAGCCAGUGAGAAAUGCCACAGCUCAGCUAAUGAGAAAUGCUGCAGCUCAGCUAAUGAGAAACUGCAGCUCAGCUAAUGAGAAACUGCAGCUCAGCCAAUGAGAAAUGCCGCAGCUCAGCCAAUGAGAAACGCCGCAGCUCAGCCAAUGAGAAAUGCCACAGCUCAGCCAAUGAGAAAUGCUGCAGCUCAGCCAAUGAGAAAUGCUACAGCUCAGCCAAUGAGAAACUGCAGCUCAGCCAAUGAGAAAUGCCACAGCUCAGCUAAUGAGAAACUGCAGCUCAGCCAAUGAGAAACGCUGCAGCUCAGCCAGUGAGAAAUGCCACAGCUCAGCUAAUGAGAAAUGCUGCAGCUCAGCUAAUGAGAAACUGCAGCUCAGCCAAUGAGAAAUGCCGCAGCUCAGCCAAUGAGAAAUGCCACAGCUCAGCUAAUGAGAAAUGCCACAGCUCAGCUAAUGAGAAACUGCAGCUCAGCCAAUGAGAAAUGCCACAGCUCAGCUAAUGAGAAAUGCCACAGCUCAGCUAAUGAGAAACUGCAGCUCAGCCAAUGAGAAAUGCCGCAGCUCAGCUAAUGAGAAAUGCCGCAGCUCAGCUAAUGAGAAAUGCCGUAGCUCAGCCAAUGAGAAAUGCCGCAGCUCAGCCAAUGAGAAACGCUGCAGCUCAGCCAAUGAGAAGCCGAUGCUGCCCUGAUCUGUUACUCUCCUCCAAUGGAGCUUCCUUUAGAACAGCCCCGCCCUCUCCCCGUUUUCUCUAUAAGAGCAGCUCUGUCCUGUGUUCUCUGGAUUUGCCUAUGGUUCUGGUAGCAUGCGCCUCCUGGAUUGUCGUUCUUUUGGCUAUUCCUGAAAAACUCAUUUUGAGAUAAAAUAUCAGGCAGAUUUGCUUUUUAAGUUGAUAAAACAAGAACCAUUCACAGCAUUUGGCAAGGGAGGUAAGCAGUGACAUCCUGGAGGAAGGUUUCACAGUGGCGGUGGGGCAAAGUCUGUCUUCAGAAUGUUAAUUUUAAUUACAAGGUAGAGUCGUAAAAAUAGCAAUAGGAACAGGAACACUUCCUUCAAAGUGGCCUUCUGAUGGACUUUGUUAUACGUGGGG
Molecule: long non-coding RNA, 5718 nt
Filed under: Equus caballus (horse)
Lineage: Eukaryota; Metazoa; Chordata; Mammalia; Perissodactyla; Equidae
Description: lncRNA (ENSECAG00000059772.1)
Source: RNAcentral